This 1425-nucleotide long non-coding RNA is filed under the name Macaca fascicularis (crab-eating macaque). RNAcentral's name for it is "lncRNA (ENSMFAG00000064477.1)". The record is from RNAcentral. Lineage: Eukaryota; Metazoa; Chordata; Mammalia; Primates; Cercopithecidae.
AUUGGGCUGUCAUUUACUAGCUGUAAAAUUGGGGUUGUGAUAGUCUCUACCUCACAGAGUUGUUGGGAGAAUCAAAUAUGAUCACUGUCAUAAAACUUUAGGCUAGAUCCUGACACUCAGCCAAGUAUACAGUAUGCACAUAGGAAAUGGUACUAGAACUUUUGUUAAUACGCGAUGGGAAGUUUCUAUGGUGUGGAAAAUUUUUAAAUGAAUGAAACACAGUCCUUUCUUUAAGAAUCUCACUGAAGAGGGAGUAGAAGACAGGUCAGUGGAUAAUUAUGAUAUACAGACCAUAGUAAAUGCAAUGUAUAAUAAUAGGAGUAAAUAUUGAGUGUUGCUUUAGGAGACAUGUCAGUGCUCCGACAUAGGGAAUCAUUAAGGGUGAAAGGGCCAUAUACUUGCGUGAAGCCUGUAAAUGUGAAAGACUAGGUCCUAGCAAGGCCAGCAUUGCCAUUCUGCUGUCCUAAUGAUGGAUGGGGAUUCGUGAGCAAUUGAAUUGAGCCACUGCCAUUACUAUUGAUUGUUGCAUAGACUUCUCCAUCAGAGCCAGUAGGCCACAGUGUGGGUCAGUGGCCAGACUGACAUAGGUUUAUGACCUUUCAUAGGCUUCCCAUGUGUCUCACCACACACCCAUCUGCCUGGGGCCUAGGACCAAGCUGGCGGUAAAGGACUUGAGAAAAUGAGGCUUGAAUUAAGUGACCUCAGAUCUAAACCAAAUGUGGCUGGAGCCUCUUUCUUGUUUUGAGAAGGAUUUUUUGUUGUUGUUGUUGUUGUUAUCAGAGUUUUGGAAGCAGUUUAAUGAAGGGCGUAGAUGUGGAAAUGAGAUGCAUGUAGGUUUCAAUAGUAACUCCUAUUGCCUUGCUCUUUGACCCUAAGAAAGUUCCUUAUCCACUUUGAAUCUCAGUUCAUUGUCUACCAAACAGGGAAAAUGAGAUCUACCUUAUCAGGAUUUUGGGGUUUUGUUGUUCAUAACAGCUUCUUUGAGAUGUAAUUUAUAUACCAUAACAUUUCACCCUUUUAAAGUGAUUUCAGUCAGUGAUUUUUUAGUGUAUUUAGAGAGUCAUGCAACCAUCACCACUAUCUAAUUCCAGAAUAUUUUCAUCACCCCCAUAAGAAACCCAUACCCGGGCCGGGCGCGUGGCUCAAGCCUGUAAUCCCAGCACUUUGGGAGGCCGAGAUGGGCAGAUCACGAGGUCAGGAGAUCGAGACCAUACUGGCCUACACGGUGAAACCCCGUCUCUACUAAAAAAUACAAAAAACUAGCCGGGCGAGGUGGCAGGCACCUGUAGUCCCAGCUACUCAGGGGCUGAGGCAGGAGAAUGGCGUAAACCCGGGAGGCGGAGCUUGCAGUGAGCUGAGAUCUGGCCACUGCACUCCAGCCUGGGCGACAGAGCGAGACUCCACCUCAAAAAAAAAAAGAAAAAA